This 588-nucleotide ribosomal RNA is filed under the name Escherichia coli. RNAcentral's name for it is "bacterial SSU rRNA". It matches the Rfam family "Bacterial small subunit ribosomal RNA", at positions 1 to 578 of the family's 1533-position model. Lineage: Bacteria; Pseudomonadati; Pseudomonadota; Gammaproteobacteria; Enterobacterales; Enterobacteriaceae. The record is from RNAcentral.
AAAUUGAAGAGUUUGAUCAUGGCUCAGAUUGAACGCUGGCGGCAGGCCUAACACAUGCAAGUCGAACGGUAACAGGAAGCAGCUUGCUGCUUCGCUGACGAGUGGCGGACGGGUGAGUAAUGUCUGGGAAACUGCCUGAUGGAGGGGGAUAACUACUGGAAACGGUAGCUAAUACCGCAUAAUGUCGCAAGACCAAAGAGGGGGACCUUCGGGCCUCUUGCCAUCGGAUGUGCCCAGAUGGGAUUAGCUUGUUGGUGGGGUAACGGCUCACCAAGGCGACGAUCCCUAGCUGGUCUGAGAGGAUGACCAGCCACACUGGAACUGAGACACGGUCCAGACUCCUACGGGAGGCAGCAGUGGGGAAUAUUGCACAAUGGGCGCAAGCCUGAUGCAGCCAUGCCGCGUGUAUGAAGAAGGCCUUCGGGUUGUAAAGUACUUUCAGCGGGGAGGAAGGGAGUAAAGUUAAUACCUUUGCUCAUUGACGUUACCCGCAGAAGAAGCACCGGCUAACUCCGUGCCAGCAGCCGCGGUAAUACGGAGGGUGCAAGCGUUAAUCGGAAUUACUGGGCGUAAAGCGCACGCAGGCGG